Molecule: ribosomal RNA, 497 nt
Filed under: uncultured bacterium
Lineage: Bacteria
Description: partial 16S ribosomal RNA
Rfam family: Bacterial small subunit ribosomal RNA
Source: RNAcentral
GAUGAACGCUGGCGGCGUGCCUAAUACAUGCAAGUCGAGCGAACAGACGAGGAGCUUGCUCCUCUGACGUUAGCGGCGGACGGGUGAGUAACACGUGGAUAACCUACCUAUAAGACUGGGAUAACUUCGGGAAAACGGAGCUAAUACCGGAUAAUAUAUUGAACCGCAUGGUUCAAUAGUGAAAGACGGUUUUGCUGUCACUUAUAGAUGGAUCCGCGCCGCAUUAGCUAGUUGGUAAGGUAACGGCUUACCAAGGCGACGAUGCGUAGCCGACCUGAGAGGGUGAUCGGCCACACUGGAACUGAGACACGGUCCAGCCUCCUACGGGAGGCAGCAUAAGGGAAUCUUCCGCAAUGGGCGAAAGCCUAACGGAGCAAGGCCGCGUGAGGGAUGAAGGUCUUCGGAUCGUAAAACUCUGUUAUUAGGGAAGAACAAAGGUGUAAGUAACUAUGCACGUCUUGACGGUACCUAAUCAGAAAGCCACGGCUAACUACGUG